CGUUUACUUUUCUACAUUGGUUAGAGGUAUAGGGGGAGGGUUGAGAUCUCACAAACAUGUUUAACCCCGCCGCAUUUUUGCGCCUGUCCCAAGUCAGGAGCCUCUGGCCUUUGUUAGUCUUGUAUUAUUUUAUUUUUAGUUUCUUGUGUACCAUUUGGAAAUUAGUAUGGCGUUCAUUAUCACUGGACCAGUAUAUAUUUGUUUAGGGGCCAGCUGAAGGACGCCUCCGGGUGCGGG
RNAcentral lists this long non-coding RNA (237 nucleotides) under Mytilus galloprovincialis (Mediterranean mussel). The record is from RNAcentral. Lineage: Eukaryota; Metazoa; Mollusca; Bivalvia; Mytilida; Mytilidae.